AACGUAGGAGACAAACGUUAUCCGGAGUUACUGGGCGUAAAGGGCGUGUAGGUGGUAUCGUAAGUCUGGCGUGAAAUUUCUCGGCUUAACCGAGGCAGGUCGUCGGAUACUGCGAGGCUAGAGGACGGUAGAGGCGUGUGGAAUUCCGGGUGUAGUGGUGAAAUGCGUAGAGAUCCGGAGGAACACCAGUGGCGAAGGCGACACGCUGGGCCGAUACUGACACUGAGGAGCGAAAGCGUGGGGAGCGAACAGG
RNAcentral lists this ribosomal RNA (253 nucleotides) under uncultured bacterium. Its description in RNAcentral is "partial 16S ribosomal RNA". It matches the Rfam family "Bacterial small subunit ribosomal RNA", at positions 524 to 776 of the family's 1533-position model. The record is from RNAcentral.